This 253-nucleotide ribosomal RNA is filed under the name Listeria monocytogenes. RNAcentral's name for it is "partial 16S ribosomal RNA". It matches the Rfam family "Bacterial small subunit ribosomal RNA", at positions 1 to 239 of the family's 1533-position model. Lineage: Bacteria; Bacillati; Bacillota; Bacilli; Caryophanales; Listeriaceae. The record is from RNAcentral.
UAUUUUAAAGAGAGUUUGAUCCUGGCUCAGGACGAACGCUGGCGGCGUGCCUAAUACAUGCAAGUCGAACGAACGGAGGAAGAGCUUGCUCUUCCAAAGUUAGUGGCGGACGGGGGAGUAACACGGGGGCAACCUGCCUGUAAGUUGGGGAUAACUCCGGGAAACCGGGGCUAAUACCGAAUGAUAGAAUGUGGCGCAUGCCACGCUUUUGAAAGAUGGGUUCGGCUAUCGCUUACAGAUGGGCCCGCGGGGC